AUGUCCACCUCCACUGCCCAAAUUUCCUCUGGCCUAAACUACAACACCUCCGAGCCGCUCACCCGGACGAACUAUGUUCUCUGGAGAGCGCAAGCGCGAUCCCAGAUACUGGGCGCUGGCUUGUAUGGCUAUAUCGAUCAAACCAUCCAGGAGCCUCCCAAAACAAUCACAACCAAAGAUAAAGAGGGCAAGGACCAGGUCGUCCCCAACCCUGCAUAUGCUCCCUGGCUAGUCCAGGACCAGCAGAUCGUCGCUUAUCUUCUCCGAAAUCUCUCCAAGGAGGUUCUCGUUCAGGUUGCCUCCCUUGAAACCUCUCACGCGAUCUGGACUGCUCUUGCAUCUAUGUUUGCA
RNAcentral lists this ribosomal RNA (351 nucleotides) under Triticum aestivum (bread wheat). RNAcentral describes it as "partial small subunit ribosomal RNA". The record is from RNAcentral. Lineage: Eukaryota; Viridiplantae; Streptophyta; Magnoliopsida; Poales; Poaceae.